GAACCAUCUUAUUUAGUUUAUUCUACAAUGCAAAUAUAGAUUGGGUUAACAUGGUAUUUACAGAUAUAUUUGGCAAAAAAUUAUCCAGUGAACCCAGACUCAGCAUAGCACCGCAUAAAAUGCACAACAAAACAUGAUUACUUCAUACUGGGAAAAAAAAGGAGCAAAAGUUCAAUUCUUGACUACAAUCCUAGAGAAACCGUUCACAACUGCACAACACGUAUAUAGAUUAUUAUUUCGUCCAAGCAGUGUUCAGAAAACAUCGACUAACAGAUGGCAUAUUGAUUUGAAAGAUAUCCAUUGCUUAAAUUGCAACAAACAAUGAAUGCAAUGGCCUAUAAUAUAAAUCCAUAGAUUUCUCAAUAUUAUUCUUUUCCUUGACCGAGC
RNAcentral lists this unclassified non-coding RNA (387 nucleotides) under Hevea brasiliensis (rubber tree). The record is from RNAcentral. Lineage: Eukaryota; Viridiplantae; Streptophyta; Magnoliopsida; Malpighiales; Euphorbiaceae.